This 879-nucleotide unclassified non-coding RNA is filed under the name Bradyrhizobium sp. RNAcentral describes it as "partial 16S-23S ribosomal RNA intergenic spacer". The stretch from base 200 to 273 matches the Rfam family "tRNA". The record is from RNAcentral. Lineage: Bacteria; Pseudomonadati; Pseudomonadota; Alphaproteobacteria; Hyphomicrobiales; Nitrobacteraceae.
CGAUCUAUCGGAUCGUUUUAGAAACAUUCAGGGGCCAACAGAUCGCCAGAUCGUUGAGCUCCAUAGGCGGGAUUUCGCCGUCUUCGUUUCUCUUUCUUCGCGGACGAACACGCGCCAGGGGCUGUGCUGUGCGACGCGUCUGGCUUUAAGUCGGAUGCGAGCCGAGUAGGCCUCGAUCCCUCGCGUAGGGAGAGCGUUGGGGCUUGUAGCUCAGUUGGUUAGAGCGCGCGCUUGAUAAGCGUGAGGUCGGAAGUUCAAGUCUUCCCAGGCCCACCACUUCAUCGAGCGCAUGUGUCUCUCCAGGCUCUAGCCCGUGGCAUUCGUCUUCUGGUUACGGGGCCAUAGCUCAGCUGGGAGAGCGCGUGCUUUGCAAGCAUGAGGUCGUCGGUUCGAUCCCGUCUGGCUCCACCAGAUGAUGUCGAAGAUCGACGCUGCAUGCUGCCGUGAUCGUCAUUCGUCCGCGAAACAUCAAUUCGCAUGCAUCAUUCGCAACCGAAUGUGCACUGCGUGUUUUCUGACAUCGUAAAGAGGAGAUCGAUCCGAGUUGGGUCGCAUGGAAAUUCUAUGCGCAUCCCUCACUAUCUCCGGGUCAUUUCGGCGCUCGCGUCUUUUGCAGAUUAACGUCGGCAAGACAUGCGGGUUGUAAAUGACUCUGUUAGCGAAGCCUGACCGCCUCGCUAUCGGUUCGAUCUUACGAAGCAAGCUGGUCUUUCUAAUCAGUGUCCGCUGCACGAGCUCUCCUGGUGAAGGUUCGUGCGGUAUGCAUUCUGCCGAGUGUGUGGACAUUGAUAAUGAGAGCAAUCAAGUGCCUUAAGGGUGUUCGGUGGAUGCCUUGGCGCUGAGAGGCGAUGAAGGACGUGCUACGCUGCGAUAAGCCGU